UUUUACCUUCGAGUUGAGUAUACAUGCAGAUGAUCAACAACAUCAUCAUCAUCAAAAGUAUCAACAUCCGAGCUGUUCUAAGGGAAACUUCAAUUUUCAUAUCAAAAACAAGGCAAAACUUUGAGUAUCUACAAAAACACAUUUUGGGGUACAACAUUCUCGUCUAUCGGAACUGAGAUCAAUUUGAAGUUUGAUGACUCCAUCAUAUUAACCUUUUCUCUCUAUGAAGUACGGGGAACAAAAAAAAAAUAUUUUGCCUGAUAGAUACUCGUGAACUUUAAUGAUGACAGAGGGUAUUUGUGUUGUUGACGUAGGAAGCAGGAACCGACACUACCAUUUUGCGCGAUUGAUGUUUUCUUGUUUUCCUUUUUUUUUCGUCUUUUUUGUGAAUUUAUGUAUGUUAUUUGGAGGAAGUAUGUUUUUACUGCUGAGAUUGAUUGCAAAGUAAAAACUUUUUAUUUGA
Molecule: long non-coding RNA, 463 nt
Organism: Episyrphus balteatus (marmalade hoverfly)
Lineage: Eukaryota; Metazoa; Arthropoda; Insecta; Diptera; Syrphidae
Exons: 2
Source: RefSeq, a predicted model, not a curated record